Molecule: ribosomal RNA, 530 nt
Filed under: Penicillium chrysogenum
Lineage: Eukaryota; Fungi; Ascomycota; Eurotiomycetes; Eurotiales; Aspergillaceae
Description: eukaryotic LSU rRNA
Rfam family: 5.8S ribosomal RNA (bases 152-304)
Source: RNAcentral
CCUCCCACCCGUGUUUAUUUUACCUUGUUGCUUCGGCGGGCCCGCCUUAACUGGCCGCCGGGGGGCUUACGCCCCCGGGCCCGCGCCCGCCGAAGACACCCUCGAACUCUGUCUGAAGAUUGUAGUCUGAGUGAAAAUAUAAAUUAUUUAAAACUUUCAACAACGGAUCUCUUGGUUCCGGCAUCGAUGAAGAACGCAGCGAAAUGCGAUACGUAAUGUGAAUUGCAAAUUCAGUGAAUCAUCGAGUCUUUGAACGCACAUUGCGCCCCCUGGUAUUCCGGGGGGCAUGCCUGUCCGAGCGUCAUUGCUGCCCUCAAGCACGGCUUGUGUGUUGGGCCCCGUCCUCCGAUCCCGGGGGACGGGCCCGAAAGGCAGCGGCGGCACCGCGUCCGGUCCUCGAGCGUAUGGGGCUUUGUCACCCGCUCUGUAGGCCCGGCCGGCGCUUGCCGAUCAACCCAAAUUUUUAUCCAGGUUGACCUCGGAUCAGGUAGGGAUACCCGCUGAACUUAAGCAUAUCAAUAAGCGGAGGA